ACGGGAGGCAGCAGUGAGGAAUAUUGGUCAAUGGUCGGAAGACUGAACCAGCCAAGUCGCGUGCAGGAAGACGGUCCUAUGGAUUGUAAACUGCUUUUGUACGGGAAUAAAGUGCAGGACGUGUCCUGUUUGGAAUGUACCGUAAGAAUAAGGGUCGGCUAACUCCGUGCCAGCAGCCGCGGUAAUACGGAGGACCCGAGCGUUAUCCGGAUUUAUUGGGUUUAAAGGGUGCGCAGGCGGAGGAUUUAGUCAGCGGUGAAAUUUUCAUGCUCAACAUGAAAACUGCCAUUGAUACUGGUCCCCUUGAGAGAUGUCGAGGAUGGCGGAAUGUGAUGUGUAGCGGUGAAAUGCUCAGAUAUGUCACAGAACACCGAUUGCGAAGGCAGCUGUCCAGAGAUCAUCUGACGCUCAGGCACGGAAGCAUGGGUAUCAAACAGGAUUAGAUACCCUGGUA
RNAcentral lists this ribosomal RNA (454 nucleotides) under uncultured Porphyromonadaceae bacterium. RNAcentral's name for it is "partial 16S ribosomal RNA". It matches the Rfam family "Bacterial small subunit ribosomal RNA", at positions 341 to 792 of the family's 1533-position model. The record is from RNAcentral. Lineage: Bacteria; Pseudomonadati; Bacteroidota; Bacteroidia; Bacteroidales; Porphyromonadaceae.